CUGACACGCGCGGGAGAGACCUUGGACCGAUUCGUCGGGAAAGAGGCGCCGAAGGAGCAACCGCCCCGGAAUCUCUCAGGCAAAAGGACCGCGCAGCGUCU
This 101-nucleotide non-coding RNA is filed under the name Sphingomonas sp. Its description in RNAcentral is "Glycine sequence". It matches the Rfam family "Glycine riboswitch aptamer". From Rfam's summary of the family: This family represents the bacterial glycine riboswitch. Glycine riboswitches usually consist of two metabolite-binding aptamers domains with similar structures in tandem. The record is from RNAcentral. Lineage: Bacteria; Pseudomonadati; Pseudomonadota; Alphaproteobacteria; Sphingomonadales; Sphingomonadaceae.